CCUACGGGUGGCAGCAGUGAGGAAUCUUCGUCAAUGGACGAGAGUCUGAACCAGCCAAGUCGCGUGAGGGAUGACUGCCCUAUGAUUUGUAAACUUCGUUUUUAAGGGAAUAAAACUGUGCACGUAUCCCUUUAUGCAUGUACGUUAUGAAUACAGAUCGGCUCAAUCCGUUCCAGCAGCCGCGGUAAUACGGUGGAUACGAGCGUUAUCCGGACUUAUUGGGUUUAAAGUGAGUGUAGAUGGGUUGUUAAGUCAGUUGUGAAAGUUUGCGGCUCAACCGUAAAGUGGUAAUUGAUACUGGCAGUCUUGAGUACAGAUGAGGUAGGCGGAAUUCGUGGUGGAGCGGUGAAAUGCUUAGAGAUAAAGAAGAACCCCGAUGGCGAAGGCAGCUUACUAAUCUGUGACUGACAUUGAUGCUCGAAAGUGUGGGUAUCAAACAGGAUUAGAUACCCGAGUAGUC
RNAcentral lists this ribosomal RNA (460 nucleotides) under uncultured bacterium. Its description in RNAcentral is "partial 16S ribosomal RNA". It matches the Rfam family "Bacterial small subunit ribosomal RNA", at positions 338 to 795 of the family's 1533-position model. The record is from RNAcentral.